RNAcentral lists this ribosomal RNA (484 nucleotides) under uncultured bacterium. RNAcentral describes it as "partial 16S ribosomal RNA". It matches the Rfam family "Bacterial small subunit ribosomal RNA", at positions 30 to 507 of the family's 1533-position model. The record is from RNAcentral.
AUUGAACGCUGGCGGCAGGCCUAACACAUGCAAGUCGAGCGGAUGAAUCGUGCUUUCUCCUGGAUUCAUCGUCGGACGGGUGAGUAAUUCCUAGGAAUCUGCCUUGUAGUUGGGUAUUACGUCCCGACACGGGCGCUAAUACCGCAUACGUCCUUAUGGUGAAUCUGGGGGAUCUUCGGACCUCACGCUAUCUGAUGUUCCUAGGUCGGAUUAGCUAGUUGGUGGGGUAAAGGCCUAACAAGGCGACGAUCCGUAACUGGUCUGAGAGGAUGAUCAGUCACACUGGAACGGAGACACGGUACAGACUCCUACGGGAGGCAGGAGUGGGGAAUAUUGGACAAUGGGCGAAAGCGUGAUCCAGCGAAGCGGCGUGUGUGAAGAAGGGCUUCGGAUUGUAAAGCAAUUUAAGUUGGGAGGAAGGGAAGUAAGUUAAUAAGUUGCUGUUUUGACGUUACCAACAGAAUAAGCACCGGCUAACUACGUG